UGGCCGAAAAAUAAAAAAACUUGCUUUUUUGGGGUUUUUUCGGCUUCCCUAGUUUAAAGGUAUCAUCUUUCAUCAGAGAUGAUAGACCUAGGCCACUCACUGCGGCAGAAUACGAGGAGUCAGUAAAGAAACUAUGGAGCAGAACAACAAAAGAUUCUACUUCAGAAGAUCAGUUGAUUAUAAAAAAAUGCUUGAACACCGAGGUCGAGACUCUCGGAAACAUAAGGCAUAAAAACAGGGUCAAACUAUAUAGCUACUUUUCGAACUUCGAUUGCCAUGUAUUGGUUUACGACUACAUGCCGAAUGGAAACCUUUGGGAUGCUCUUCAUAAAGGAUGGUUCCAUUUAGAUUGGCCAAACCGACAUCAAAUCGCACUUGGGGUUGCACAAGGCUUAGCAUACCUUCACCAUGGUCUAUUACCACCUAUCAUUCAUAGAGACAUCAAAUCAACCAACAUCCUACUUGAUAUCAAUUACCAACCCAAAGUUGCCGAUUUCGGAAUAGCCAAAGUAUUGCUCUACAAUCAUAGCAGGCACAUAUGGUUACUUAGCCCCUGAAUAUGCAUAUUCGAAUAAAGCGACAACGAAGUGCGAUGUUUAUAGUUUCGGGGUGGUGUUGAUGGAACUAAUAACAGGGAAGAAACCAGUGGAUGCCGAUUUCGGAGAGUAUAAGAACAUUGUAUAUUGGGUUACAACAAAGCUGGAUACAAAGGAAGGGGUAAUGGAGGUCAUAGACAAGAACUUGUUGGGGUCAUUUAAGGAUGAUAUGAUUCAAGUUCUUAGAAUUGCAAUGUGUUGUACAUGUAAGACUACAUCUUGACAUCCGACAAUGAAUGAGGUUGUUCAAUUGUUGAUUUAGACAGACCCUUGCUUAAUAGAUCCUUACAAGUUUUCAACAAAGACCAGAGAAGCAUCAAAUGUCACAGAGAACCAAUCAGAAGAGGUAGAAUCAUAACAACUUAAAGCUUUUUCUCUUUUGAUUAAAUUUUGCUGAUUAGUGGCUUGUAGAUUCUCUCUUUCCGUUUUCUUCUCUUGUAAGGACCUAAGGAAUUUAAAUCACUAUAAACUGCUUUAUGGCAACACACAGCAUGUAUAUGAAAUCAUUGCAUAGCUUCCAA
This is a long non-coding RNA of Gossypium arboreum, 1117 nucleotides long. RefSeq lists it as uncharacterized. The transcript is spliced from 3 exons. The record is from RefSeq and is a predicted model, not a curated record. Lineage: Eukaryota; Viridiplantae; Streptophyta; Magnoliopsida; Malvales; Malvaceae.